RNAcentral lists this ribosomal RNA (400 nucleotides) under uncultured bacterium. Its description in RNAcentral is "bacterial SSU rRNA". It matches the Rfam family "Bacterial small subunit ribosomal RNA", at positions 355 to 746 of the family's 1533-position model. The record is from RNAcentral.
UGGGGAGUAUUGCGCAAUGGGCGAAAGCCUGACGCAGCCACGCCGCGUGAGUGAAGAAGGCCUUCGGGUUGUAAAGCUCUGUCAAGCGGGACGAAAAGUUAUUAGGUUAAUAGCCUAGUAACCUGACGGUACCGCUGAAGGAAGCACCGGCUAACUCCGUGCCAGCAGCCGCGGUAAUACGGAGGGUGCAAGCGUUGCUCGGAAUUAUUGGGCGUAAAGGGUAGGUAGGUGGUCUCGUUUGUCUAAGGUGAAAGCCCCGGGCUUAACUCGGGAAGUGCCUUGGAAACGGCGAGACUGGAGUCCUGGAGAGGGUCGUGGAAUUCCCGGUGUAGCGGUGAAAUGCGUAGAGAUCGGGAGGAACAUCAGCGGCGAAAGCGGCGGCCUGGACAGGUACUGACAC